GAUGAACGCUGGCGGCGUGCCUAAUACAUGCAAGUCGAGCGAACAGAUGAGAAGCUUGCUUCUCUGAUGUUAGCGGCGGACGGGUGAGUAACACGUGGGUAACCUACCUAUAAGACUGGGAUAACUCCGGCAAACCGGGGCUAAUACCGGAUAAUAUUUUGAACCGCAUGGUUCAAUAGUGAAAGACGGUUUCGGCUGUCACUUAUAGAUGGACCCGCGCCGUAUUAGCUAGUUGGUAAGGUAACGGCUUACCAAGGCGACGAUACGUAGCCGACCUGAGAGGGUGAUCGGCCACACUGGAACUGAGACACGUUCCAGACUCCUACGGGAGGCAGCAGUAGGGAAUCUUCCGCAAUGGGCGAAAGCCUGACGGAGCAACGCCGCGUGAGUGAUGAAGGUCUUCGGAUCGUAAAACUCUGUUGUUAGGGAAGAACAAAUUUGUUAGUAACUGAACAAGUCUUGACGGUACCUAACCAGAAAGCCACGGCUAACUACGUGCCAGCAGCCGCCGUAA
RNAcentral lists this ribosomal RNA (514 nucleotides) under uncultured bacterium. RNAcentral's name for it is "partial 16S ribosomal RNA". It matches the Rfam family "Bacterial small subunit ribosomal RNA", at positions 28 to 523 of the family's 1533-position model. The record is from RNAcentral.